AAAUGGAAAUGGGAACUAUAUUUUGGGACGGAGGGAGUAUUACUUAUUGUCAUAAAUAAUUUGAAUGUAAAUACUCCCUCCGUCCCAAAAUAUAGUUCCCAUUUCUAUG
Molecule: microRNA precursor, 109 nt
Filed under: Beta vulgaris subsp. vulgaris (sugar beet)
Lineage: Eukaryota; Viridiplantae; Streptophyta; Magnoliopsida; Caryophyllales; Amaranthaceae
Description: pre miRNA mir-399
Source: RNAcentral